RNAcentral lists this transfer RNA (76 nucleotides) under Bacillota bacterium. Its description in RNAcentral is "tRNA-Lys". It matches the Rfam family "tRNA". Rfam says of the family: Transfer RNA (tRNA) molecules are approximately 80 nucleotides in length. The record is from RNAcentral. Lineage: Bacteria; Bacillati; Bacillota.
GCGCCACUAGCUCAGUUGGUAGAGCAGCUGACUCUUAAUCAGCGGGUCCUGGGUUCGAGUCCCCGGUGGCGCACCA